GAUAUUUUUUUCUUUUUUCGCAGGGAAUGGGUAAUCGAUGGAGCAGAGACGGGUGAACGUAGGCUUACGGCAGCUGUCCCAGAGAGCUAGGGCUGCUACUCUACGCCGCAUGCAUGGUGUCCUCUCCCUUCACACGGCAGCAAAUACGCCCGAUCAGAGCAACAAAAAAAUAAAUAAAAAAUAAAUGCGGGCAACAUAAAUCGGUUUCGCAUGAACCGAGCUGUCAUGUGCAUACCUAAUAGAGCUCGCUCCCCGUUCGGCCACACACGGCACGUUGAAUAGCAGCAUAAUAACCAUUUGCGUGCCUACCUCCGGAGCGUGUGUGCGCUUUUUUUUUUUCUUCCUCCUCUCUCUCCCCCUCCCCUGUCCUUCGUCUUUUGCUCCCCCGUCGCAAUGGGAUCCUUCUCCGCCGCGCUGGACAGUAUCAGAAGAUGCGUCUUUCCCCGAAAUGCAAACACUUCCCCUGCAUAUCCCCCCUCCGCCACCUCCAGCAGCAGCAGCAGCAGCAGCAGCAGCAGCCCGGGCCUCCAGUAAUAGCAGGUGGACGCGCCUCUCAGUGAUGGAGACAGCGCGGCUCUGCUCUCCGCCGCCGCUCCAUUACGCUCAGCCACGGAAGGAUUCGUAUUCCAGGAAACGCGCUACGGAGCCGCCAGCAUGUCCCGACGUCGCCUCUUUUCUCGGGACAAGCAGAGCGGCCGUCGGCUCUGAAACUCUUGCGUCGCGGCGCCCCCUCCCCUCGCGUGUGAUCUUCUUUUUUACUAGAAGCUUGAUGUUGUCACUGUCACGCCGUAUUUUCCUUUUUUCUCUUUUUUUCUUCUUUUUUUUUUUUUUUUUUUUGCAGCUGGACCUCUCCCCCUCCUUUGCGACGCGCAGUCUCGUAGGCGCGCACCGUGCUGAUCCCCCCCUCUCCCCCCCCCCUUCCGUUCCCCUCCUCCUCCUCCUGUGAUUCUUCUCUGCCCGACCUAUGAGCGCGCACAGCCAGCCGACGCAGGGCCACGCACUGCUUUGACGGACGCGCUGAACAAAUCAGAUGUGUCCCUGAGCCCAUCUGCAUGCAUUGCCACUCAAUAAGACUGCGGCCUUUCAGAAAUACGUUUACAGAGGGAUCCAUUGUGUGCAGAGAGUUUCUUCGAUUAUCUAUGCUGCGGCUGAGAGAAAGCCUGCGCCGUUUGUUCUGCGAGUUUAAUAUCAAGCCCAAACCUCAUGAGUAAAUACGGUUGGAUCUGCAGACUUUGCUGUGGCGGAAAUCGGAGCCCCUUAUAACAACAAGACUGCAUCACAUGACCCUGCUGAGUACGGCUCUAGU
This is a long non-coding RNA of Fundulus heteroclitus (mummichog), 1306 nucleotides long. RefSeq lists it as uncharacterized. NCBI's taxonomy places the organism in Eukaryota, Metazoa, Chordata, Actinopteri, Cyprinodontiformes, Fundulidae. The transcript has 3 exons. The record is from RefSeq and is a predicted model, not a curated record.